GAUGAUGCAGCGUGCAAAAUCAUACUCCGUCCACAGAACGUGCUCGAUCUUGGCCUCGGAGCUCAUGGAGGAGAAAGAGAAAGUAGAGAAGGAGAGAAGAGGGCUUUUCAUAAGUUUCUAUGAUUUAUAGUUUAGAUUAGGGUUAAGAUGGGCGGACCAUUAAUUAGACGUUAUGUGUGGAAGGAAGGCGAAGUGUUGAGUUAAGGUGGGUGGACCAUUAAUUAGACGUUAUGGGUGCAUGGAGGGAAGGCGAAGUGUUGAGUUAAGGUGAGUGGACCAUUAAUUAAACGUUAUGGGUGGAGGGAAGGUGAAGAGUUGGUUUCGCAAUAUGAAGUCCAAAAGUAAAGAAAACACACCACGUGGCUUUUUUUUUCGGGAUAGGUGACUUUGAAAUAAAAUAUCAUUCAUUAUAGGUGACUUUGAAAUAGAGCUCUCAACAAUUAUGUAUUUAUUUUUAAUUGAUAUAUUUCCGACUUAAAUUUUUUAUUAAUUAAUUAAUUCAGUUUUAUUUGAUAUAGAGUAGUUAAUUAAUCUAUUUUCUAAAAUUUAGUAUUUACUGUUUAUGAUUUAAAAAGUUUGGUUAAAUUUUUAGUUUAUUUGACUAAAUUAGUAGCUAUGUGCGUGUUAAUAAAAAAAAAUUAGGAGAAAUUGUCUAAAAAUGAGAGAGAGUUUGUACAUUUUUAUCUAAAUAAAUUAUAUAAUUUUUUAUUAAUUAAAUAGAUCUCUAAUGUGGAAGGUUGGCAUGGAAACUAAAUAAUAUGUAGAAAAAGAAUAUUCCAAGGAGAUUUAGAUUUUAUUAAUUAAUAAUGUUUUGCAUAUUGUUUGAAUGAUAUGAUUAGAGGUCUGAUUCAUAAAUCACCUAAAAAUUGAGGGCAUUCAGACAUUUUUUUAUCAUAAUUAUGAUUUGUAUUCAUUAAAAGGGUCUCAAAUAUAAAAAUUUUUGAAUGCAAAAUAAAAUAGUAUGAAUGGUAUGGCCUAAAUCAUUUUUUAUAUAAAAAAUUUGCACGACUUAAAUCAUUUUUGGCAUAAUUUAUAAAAUUGAAGGGUUUCAGGUAUAAAUGUCAUUUUUUGUCCUAAAAAAAUGGUUUUUUUAUAAGUAAUAUAAAAGAAAAUUUUUUAUAACCAGAUGUAGAGAUUUAAAAUUUAAUUUAUCUAAAUGUUCAAUUGAACAAUAAUUUUUUUACUAUCUUAUGCAAUAUAAUAAAAUUAUUAAAUUAUAAAUAUUCACUAAUAAUUUAUUUAAAAAUUAUAUAUUACAUAUCAAUCAUGUCCGAUCUUAAUUAUUUUGAAAAAAAAAUAUUUUUUAUUUUUUUAACUAUGUGACGUGCAUUGCACGUGCACUCUACGACUGCUAGUAUAAUAUAAAUUGCAUCUCUUAGAUUAAUUUUAAUUAUACUAUAUUUAUUAUUAAAUAAAUUAUUUCAAUAUAUAUGAUAUAUUAAUAGAUCCGGUGUAGAUAUUAUUUUUCAUAUUUAAAAAUGGAAGAAAGUUGAGGGGAAUUGAAAGGAAAGCUACACGUAGUAGUAGAGAGUAUGCUAUAUUUUUUAAAUCCCAUAUGAGUAUUUUUGGUCUGUUACUUGUUGCUACUUACUUAUGAGUAUUUUUGGUUUGUUACUUGUUGCUACUCAAACCCAUCUUCCUCAACCCCAUCUUCCUCAAAUUCUUUCUUAGUGGAUGAGAUGAGGGACGAAAGAGGAAAGACCCCAUCUUUCUCAAUUUCUUUCCAGGAGUGCCCCCCACACCCCUUCCCCACCCUAUAUAUGUAACGACCUAGCUCACUAGCAAUAAUAAUUCGUUGGACCCAAACACCGGCCCAAAAUGCUUAAGCUCAGUUAUUAUUACUAGUUUCUAAAUCUCUUAUAUACCCAAUCACAUCCUAUUCAUAUCCAAUGUGGGAUUAUUUGGGUGUGACAAACUCCACCCGUUAAUCACAUCCCCAUUCAUAUCAGAUGUGGGAUUAUUCGGGUGUGACAGACUCCCCCCUGACAUCCUUGUCAGUCCAAUCACACACACAGCCCAAGAUCACCAGGCGAUGUGAGACUCGUCUCGCUAGCCUUGUCAUACAGACCCUGACAUAGCUGGUCACCUUAUCAUUCAGACUCCGGCAUAACCCAUCACAUUAUUUUUUAGACCAUGGCUCAGCCGAGACUCACCACACAUUUUCGGCUGGUAAACUGGCUCUGAUACCAAAUGUAACGACCCAGCCCACUAGCAAUAAUAACUCGUUGGACCCAACCACCAACCUAAAAUGCUUAAGCCCAGUUAUUAUUGCUAGUGUCUAAAUCUUUUAUAUACCCAAUCACAUCCUCAUUCAUAUUCGAUGUGGGAUUGUUGGGGUAUGACAAUAUAUACACGUAAACAUAGUCAUUCAACCAUGCACACUUUCCUCCCUCUCUCUCUCUAUCUUUCUCUCUCUCUCUCCCUGCCCGCGUACUCAAGCACAUCUCUGUCUCUCUCUAUGUCCACAAUAACGAGCUUGCUACUUUCGCCAAACUUUGACCAAGAGCAAUCGACAGAAAGUUCCCCCAAAGUAGGGAUCACUGUCGGGAUAAAUGUCGGGAUGAGUGUUUAAGGGAUGAUUGCUGCUGCGGCAAUCAGCCUACUCAUCUACUGCAUAUGGCAAAAGAGGCGAUCUGGCCUCCGCAGGAACAACAGAGGCUCCACGACAGGGCAACCCCAUAGCGACAUUGAGUUGGUAGUCGCCUCAGGCGUACUAGAGGGCCGCCUCGCUGCGCGAAUGAUCAGCAAUUGAUCAAUAUUAGUAUCUAUAAUUUGGUAUGUAGGCCGUGGCUCUCUAUUUAUACACUUUAUUUUGAGGUUGCAAGGAUUUUGCAUAUAAGCAUAUAUUUUGCAUUUUUAUUUGGGUUAUGUUUAAAUGUCUCCUUGCGGCAGUAUUUACUAACUGCAACCCAUCGAUAUUUUUUUUUAAUCUUUUAAUAACCCGCACGUUGCGGCUGAUAGAUACUACUAAAAUAAAUUUAAUAUCUAACUAAUGUAUCAAAAGUUUGCUGUUAUUUUAAAAAUCAAAAUAGUCCAAACAUAUUGGGUUCUUGCAAAAGUAUAUAUUAAUCUGCUGAAGCGGACUAGUAACAAAAUGCUCAUAGAAAGAUAAUAAAUGUAUCAACCUAUUGAGCCAAAAAUUGACAUACUAUUUGGAAGAGAUUUAGAUAAAAAAAAAUUCAAUAAAAAUUAACAUUUUAUAAAUCAAAAUAAUCAAAGGGUUAAACUUUUUUGUAUAAGUUAUAUAUUUAUACCUUCAUUUUCUCUAUAAGCUAUAAUAUUUACCCCUUCAAGAAAAUGAAGAUCUUUUUAGAUUAUUAUCAAUCUAAUUUUGUAAACAUUCUUAUAUCAGUUAAUAAAAAGAGUAAUGAAAGUAGAAAAAAAAAUAAGUAUAUGAAAAGUUAUAUAAUAAAUUUUUAAGAGACAAAAAGAUAUACAACUCAACACAACCUAAUACAGUAAAUAUAAUACAAAAUUUUACUUUCGAAAAAAAUAUAAAGAAUAAAUGAUAAAAAAGAAAAAGUAAUAAACCUUCAACACAACAAAUAUAUCAGUUCGAAUUCCAUGUAAAUAAAAAGAACUUAAAAAAACUAAAUAAAACUACCUAAGAAAUUUUAACGUUAUAACAUAAAAGAAUAUAUAAAUUUUUUAAAAGAACUUCUGAAUUUUAGAGGAAGGCACGAUUUGAUGAAGAUGACAAUGCCAAGCUCGGCGAUGCAGCGUGCAAAAUCAUACUCCGUUCACAGAACGUGCUCGAUCUUGGCCUCGGAGCUCAUGGAGGAGGAAGAGAAAGUAGACAAGAAGAGAAGAGGGCUUUUCAUAGGUUUCUAUGAUUUACAAUUUAGAUUAGGGUUAAGAUGGGCGGACCAUUAAUUAGACGUUAUGUGUGGAGAGAAAGCGAAAUGUUGAAUUAAGGUGGGUGAAAUAUUAAUUAGACGUUAUGGGUAGAGGGAAGGCGAAGGGUUGGUUUCGCAAUGUGAAGUCCAAAAGUAAAGAAAACACGCCACGUGGCUUUUCUUUUGGAGAUAGGUGACUUUGAAAUAAAAUCCUUUUCAUUUUAGAUGACUUUGAAAUAGAGCUCUCAAUAACUAUGUAUUUAUUUUUAAUUGAUAUCUUUCCUACUUUAAUUUUUUAUUAAUUAAUUAAUUCAGUUUUAUUUGAUAUAGAGUAGUUAAUUAAUCUAUUUUCUAAAAUUUAGUAUUUAUUGUUUAGGAUUUAAAAAGUUUGGUUAAAUUUUUAGUUUAUUUGACUAAAUUAGUAGCUAUGUGCGUGUUAAUAAAAAAAAAUUAUGAGAAAUUGUCUAAAAAUGAGAGAGAGUUUGUACAUUUUUAUCUAAUAAAUUAUAUAAUUUUUUAUUAAUUAAAUAGAUCUCUAAUGUGGAAGGUUUGCAUGGAAACUAAAUAAUAUAUAGAAAAAGAAUAUUCCAAGGAGACUUUAUUAAUUAAUAAUUGUUUUGGCAUACUGUUUGAAUGAUAAUGAUAUAGGGACCUGAUUCAUAAAUCGAGUAGAGUCAGGGUCAGAACAUUAAUUUUUUUAUCAAUAAGUGAUUGUAUUCAUUAAGGGAUCUUAAGUAUAAAAUUUAUUGAAUGCAAAAUAAAAUAGUAUGAAGUGCAUAGCCCUAAAUCAUUUUUUUUAAUAUAAAAAGUUUGGCAUGACUUUAAAUCAUUUUUGGAACAUAAUUUAAAUUGAACAGAGAUUAUAAAUGUCAUUUUUGUCCUAAAAUUGCUUUUUUAUAGUACGCUACACCCCAGAUAAAAAAAAAUUUUAUGCAGAUGUGGAGAGUUAAAAUUUAAUUUUAUCUAAAUUUCAAUUUGAACACAUAAUUUUUUUUACUAUCCUUAAUGCAAUAUAAUAAAACUUAUUAAAAUUAUACCAUAUUCAGUACAUAACUUUGAUUAAAAAUAAUAUUCCAUUAUUCAAUCAAUGUCGAUCUUAACUUAUUUGAAAAAAUAUUUUUUAUGUUUUAAUUGUGACGUGGCAAUAAAAAAUAUUUUUAUUUUUUUUAUAUGUGAUCUGUGGGCAUUGCACGGCACUCUAGCGAUCUACUAGUAUACGAUAUAAAUUGCAUCUCUUAGUAUUAAAUUUUAAUUAUAUCUUAUAUUUAUUAAAUAAAUUAUUGCAAUAUAUAUAUUAUAUUAAUUAGAUUCGGUGUAAUAUUAUUUUUCAUAUUGAUAGAAUGGAAGAAAUUGAGGGGAUAUUAUUUUUCAUGAUUUAUAGAAUGGAAGAACAGUUGAGGGGAAAAUAAUAACUCGUUGGACCCAACGACCAGCCUAAAAGCUUAAGCCCAGUAUGAUUUACUAGUGUUCAUCUCUUAUAAUACAAAAUCAAUCCUCAUAUCAUAUCCGAUGUGGGAUGUGACAAUAUGAAUAUACGUAAACAUAGAGUCACCCAUGCACUACUUCCACUCUCUCUCUCUCUCUGCUCUCCUCUCUCCUCCCUGCCGCGUACUCAAGCACACUCUGUGCUCUCUCUAGUGUCACAAUUAACGAGCUUGCUGCUUCGCCAAAUUGACCAGACAAUCGCAGAAAGUUCCCCAAGUAGGGAUGACUCGCGGGCUAAAUGUCGGGAUAUGUUCAAGGGAUGAAUUGCUGGCUGGCGGCAAUAGCAUACGUCAUCUACUGCAUAUGACAAAAGGCGAUCUGCGCCCCAGAACAACAGAGGCUUCGCACGACAGGGCAACCCCAAUACACAGUGAGCUUGGUAUCGCCUACCAGGCGUACUGAGGCUGCUCGCUGCGCUGACUGAUCAGGCAAAUUGAUCAAUAUUAGUAUCUAAUAAUUUGGUGAUGAUAGGAUCGUGGCUGCUCUAUUUAUACACUUUUAUUUUGAGGUUGCAAUUGGACUUUUGCAUAUAAGCUAUAUUUUCAUUUUUAUUUGGGUAUGUUUAAAUGUCUGCCUGCGGCAGUCUUUACUAACUGGGCAACCCAUCGAUAUUUUUUUUUAAUCUUUUAAUAACCCGCACGUUGCCUGAUAGAUUUACUACUAAAAUAAAUUUAUAUAUUCUAACUAAUGUAUCAAAAGUUUGCUGUUAUUUUAAAAAUCAAAAAAGUCCAAACAUAUUGGGUUCUUGCAAAGUAUAUAUUAAAUCUGCCUGAAGCGGAACUCAGUAAAAAAGCUCAAUAAGAAAGAUAAUAUGUGUAUCAACCUAUUGAGCAAAAAUUGACAUAGCUAUUUGAAGAGAUUUAGAUAAACAAAAAUUCAUAAAAAUUUCAACAUUCUUAUAAUAAUACAUCAAAAGGGUUAAACCUUUUUUGUAUAAGUUAUAUAUUUAUAGCCUUCAGUUGUCUCUAUAACUAUAAUAUUUACCCUUCAACAGAAAUAAGGAUCUUUUUAGAAUAUUAUCAAUCUAAUUGUAAACAUUCUAUAUCAGUUUUUUAUAUAAGAGUAAUUAAAAGUAGAAAAAAAAAUAAGUAUAUGAAAAGUUAUAUAUAAAUUUUUAAAAAACAAAAGAUAUACAACCCAACACAACCUAAUUACAGUAAAUAAUAAUACAAAAUACUUUCGAUGUAAAAAAUAUAAAAGAAUAAAUGAUAAAAGAAAAAGUAAAACCUUCAACACAAACAAACACAUCAGUAUCGAAUAUCAUAUUACAAUAAAUAGAACUUUAAAAAACUAAAUAAACUACCUAAGAAUUUCAACGUUACAACAUAAAAGAAUAUCAUAAAUUUUUUUCAAAGAACUUCUGAAUUUUAGAGGAAGACAGACGAGUGUGAGUGAGAGAGUGAGAGACGCAAGCUCGGGCGAUGCAGCGUGCAAAUCAUACUCCUCCACAGAACGUGAGCUCGAUAUUGUCCUGGAAGUUCAUGGAGGAGGAAAAGAAAGUAGAGAAGGAGAGAGAGGCUUUUCAUAGGUUUUAGUUGGAUUUUUUAUCCAAUAAUAAAAUUUGAUGAUAACCACAACCAAAUAUUCGAUUUAAUUUGCAUUAUGAAGCAAUUUCAGGUUAUAGUUAAAUUUAAAGUGGCUCAAGCUGAACCGGAAUUGAUGAAAGGUAAACAAUUCAAUCAAUUAUUCAAAUUGCCCGGACAAGAUCAAAUUGUACCAGAAUUGAUACAAGUGCCACAAGAAAAAUUUGGAGGAAUUCUUUACAAUUUAUCGGAUUUGAGCCGGUCCCAACUAAGUCAAGUUGACCAUUCACCUUUGGGUUUGAUUUGAGCUUAAUGUUCAAAUUAGCCAUUAUUUUAACUAUGGUAUGAAAGUGAUUUUUAUGUAUGGUAAUAAAUUCAUAUUUUUGAAACUAUAAAAAUAUGAUAUAAAAUGAGUUUAUAAGUACUGUAUUAAAAGCUUUUACAAAUGUGGGAAUGAAUUUCAAAAAGUUUUUUCGCAUUUGUCAAGUAUUAAUUUAAAAGAUUUUUAAAUUAGAUAUAAUUUCAAAUGAGCUUUUCAAUAUAGUAAUAUUUCAAAUGUUUUGCAAAUGUGGUAUGAAUUCGAAUUUAUUUUGGAAUUAAUUCAAAUGCAUUUGCAAAUAUGGUUAAAAUUCAAAUUGAAAUCAAUUAUAAUUUAAUUAUGCUUUUGUUCCAUUUUUGAAAUGAUGGCUAGUGUAUUUAAAGGGGGGCUUGGAUGUUGUUUGUGGUAUAACUUCAGAAAAAUUCUCUAAGUCCUAAUUGUUCAUUGAUUUGUAAUUGUGAGCUUCUUGAGAGAUUGUAAAAGAAGUUUUGUGUGAUUGUAAGCGGCUUUGGUCUUGCCCUAUUCAAAAGGCCAAGUGAUAGUGAAAUCGGUACCUCGAGGAGAAGAAGGACCGGACUGGAGUAGGCAGAAGGGCCGAACCAGGAUAAAUCAUCUGUGUUAUCUGAGUUUAAUUUUCUUCUUUUAUUUGGUUGUGCAAUUUUUAUCUUGAUUUAAUUUUACUUGAGUUUUUAGUUUUCAACUAAUUCACCCCCCCCUCUUAGUUGCCAUUUGAUCCUUCAGGUUUUUAUAAUUUACAAUUUAGAUUAAAGUUAAGAUGGGCGGACCAUUAAUUAGACAUUAUGUGUGGAGGGAAGGCGAAAUGUUAAAUUAAGGUGGGUGGAAUAUUAAUUAGACGUUAUGGAUGGAGGGAAGGCGAAGGGUUGGUUUCGCAAUGUGAAGUCCAAAAGUAAAGAAAACACGCCACGUGGCUUUUCUUUUGGGGAUAGGUGACUUUGAAAUAAAAUCAUUUUCAUUUUAGGUGACUUUGAAAUAGAGCUCUCAACAAUUAUGUAUUUAUUUUUAAUUGAUAUCAUUUCGACUUUAAUUUUUUAUUUAUUAAUUAAUUCAGUUUUAUUUGAUAUAGAGUAGUUAAUUAAUCUAUUUUCUAAAAUUUAGUAUUUACUGUUUAGGAUUUAAAAAGUUUGGUUAAAUUUUUAGUUUAUUUGACUAAAUUAGUAGCUAUGUGCGUGUUAAUAAAAAAAAUUAUGAGAAAUUGUCUAAAAAUGAGAGAGAGUUUGUAUAUUUUUAUCUAAAUAAAUUAUAUAAUUUUUUUAUUAAUUAAAUAGAUUUAAUGUGGAAGGUUUGCAUGGAAACUAAAUAAUAUGUAG
This 8491-nucleotide long non-coding RNA is filed under the name Ananas comosus (pineapple). Its description in RNAcentral is "long non-coding RNA (ACOM_LNC022544)". Lineage: Eukaryota; Viridiplantae; Streptophyta; Magnoliopsida; Poales; Bromeliaceae. The record is from RNAcentral.